RNAcentral lists this long non-coding RNA (1059 nucleotides) under Mus spicilegus (steppe mouse). RNAcentral's name for it is "lncRNA (ENSMSIG00000000089.1)". Lineage: Eukaryota; Metazoa; Chordata; Mammalia; Rodentia; Muridae. The record is from RNAcentral.
AAUUCCACAGGUGCUUCAGAGAACUAUCCCAGCAUGGCCUUGUCCUGGACUGCAUGGGGUUCAUUCUUCAUCCUCAAUGGUCAGGAGCCACUUCCAGCAGGUGCCCAAGGAGGACAAAGGAUCCAGGCUUCACUUCUCCUGAUGGAGCAAAAGGAGUACCAGGAGAUAAACGGUGAUUAAAGACUGGAUCUCAGACAACACUGGAAGCAUCUCCAGGCUUUCAGAACACCAGAUUAAUCCAUAUGAAUGGAAAGGACAGUUCAUUUGUCCUUUCCUGUGACCCUCAUUCUGUCCCAGAUGGACCACGCUAAAGAGGAUGUGGAGUAUGAAGUCUGUCUGAAUAUGUUAAAGGACUGAUACCAGGGUUGUUGUGAAGCUGUGGGGCCUUUGUUGAGCCAGAGAUACGGCUUGAAGGGAGAAAAUGAAACAUAGGUUGUGGCUCAGUUCUCAGCUAAGUACCCAGUUGAGUAGAGUAAGUGAGCUGCCUACGCAAGUCAGCCAGAGGAAGACGCAGAUGUCAGGGAAGAAGCAGGGCGAGGCUCCACGUAAAUGAGGAGGGGGAGCUCUAUGCCUGGCUGGGAGACCCUGUGGGUACUGGUGAUGACCAGCCCACACUCAGCCCUGAGCCAUAAAGACACAAAAGAAACCCCAAAGGAAGGAACGAACUGACUUGUCAAUCAUUCCCUACAGUUUUUAUUGAAGCAGGUCUGCCCAGCCUCUGCUUGCCUGCAGGAACUUAGAGACACACUAGCACUCUAUGGACGAGCAAAGACCAAAGUCAGGAGCAGAUCUUCAUCAAAUGGUGAGGAUUCCAUCUCAUCAGCCAGAGCAGUCAUCAACGAAGCCAAGGACAGCUCUCACAAGUUGUCCUUGAACCUCCACACACGGGCAUAUAUAUGACUAAAUUUAAUUUGUUAAAGCCAAAAUUUUUUUAAAUUAAAAAAAAAACAAGCAAAAUUGUGGAGACUUUAUAAUUUAUGUUUAAUGCCAAGAAUGCCUCAUGCCAGAUAGUCGUCAGAACUUUCAUACAUUGCCACGGCUAAUGACCACCAUAACCAU